GGAUCGGAGUCUGCAACCCGACUCCGUGAAGCUGGAUUCGCUAGUAAUCGCGCAUCAGCCAUGGCGCGGUGAAUACGUUCCCGGGCCUUGUACACACCGCCCGUCAAGCCAUGGAAGCCGGGGGCGCUUGAAGUGCGUUGCCGCAAGGCGCGCCCUAGAGCGAAACCGGUGACUGGGGCUAAGUCGUAACAAGGUAGC
RNAcentral lists this ribosomal RNA (198 nucleotides) under uncultured bacterium. Its description in RNAcentral is "partial 16S ribosomal RNA". It matches the Rfam family "Bacterial small subunit ribosomal RNA", at positions 1295 to 1500 of the family's 1533-position model. The record is from RNAcentral.